UACGUAGGGGGCAAGCGUUAUCCGGAAUUACUGGGUGUAAAGGGAGAGUAGGCGGCAAGGUAAGCGAUAUGUGAAAGCCUUAGGCUUAACCUGAGGAUUGCAUAACGAACUAUCUAGCUAGAGUACAGGAGAGGAAAGCGGAAUUCCUAGUGUAGCGGUGAAAUGCGUAGAUAUUAGGAAGAACACCAGUGGCGAAGGCGGCUUUCUGGACUGAAACUGACGCUGAGGCUCGAAAGCGUGGGGAGCGAACAGGAUUAGAUACCCGGGUAGU
RNAcentral lists this ribosomal RNA (271 nucleotides) under uncultured bacterium. Its description in RNAcentral is "partial 16S ribosomal RNA". It matches the Rfam family "Bacterial small subunit ribosomal RNA", at positions 524 to 794 of the family's 1533-position model. The record is from RNAcentral.